RNAcentral lists this ribosomal RNA (497 nucleotides) under uncultured bacterium. RNAcentral's name for it is "partial 16S ribosomal RNA". It matches the Rfam family "Bacterial small subunit ribosomal RNA", at positions 28 to 507 of the family's 1533-position model. The record is from RNAcentral.
GAUGAACGCUGGCGGCGUGCCUAAUACAUGCAAGUCGAGCGAACAGAUAAGGAGCUUGCUCCUUUGACGUUAGCGGCGGACGGGUGAGUAACACGUGGGUAACCUACCUAUAAGACUGGAAUAACUCCGGGAAACCGGGGCUAAUGCCGGAUAACAUUUAGAACCGCAUGGUUCUAAAGUGAAAGAUGGUUUUGCUAUCACUUAUAGAUGGACCCGCGCCGUAUUAGCUAGUUGGUAAGGUAACGGCUUACCAAGGCAACGAUACGUAGCCGACCUGAGAGAGGGAUCGGCCACACUGGAACUGAGACACGGUCCAGACUCCUACGGGAGGCAGCAGUAGGGAAUCUUCCGCAAUGGGCGAAAGCCUGACGGAGCAACGCCGCGUGAGUGAUGAAGGUCUUCGGAUCGUAAAACUCUGUUAUUAGGGAAGAACAAAUGUGUAAGUAACUGUGCACGUCUUGACGGUACCUAAUCAGAAAGCCACGGCUAACUACGUG